This 253-nucleotide ribosomal RNA is filed under the name uncultured bacterium. Its description in RNAcentral is "partial 16S ribosomal RNA". It matches the Rfam family "Bacterial small subunit ribosomal RNA", at positions 524 to 776 of the family's 1533-position model. The record is from RNAcentral.
UACGUAGGUGGCAAGCGUUGUCCGGAUUUACUGGGUGUAAAGGGCGUGUAGCCGGGCUUACAAGUCAGAUGUGAAAUCCGGGGGCUCAACCCCCGAACUGCAUUUGAAACUGUAGGUCUUGAGUAUCGGAGAGGUAGGCGGAAUUCCUAGUGUAGCGGUGAAAUGCGUAGAUAUUAGGAGGAACACCAGUGGCGAAGGCGGCCUGCUGGACGACAACUGACGGUGAGGCGCGAAAGCGUGGGGAGCAAACAGG